AAUAGAUACCCAGGUAGUCCACGCCGUAAACGGUGGGCACUAGAUGUGGGGCUCUUUCCAUGAGUUCCGCGUCGCAGCUAACGCAUUAAGUGCCCCGCCUGGGGAGUACGGCCGCAAGGCUAAAACUCAAAGGAAUUGACGGGGACCCGCACAAGCGGCGGAGCAUGCGGAUUAAUUCGAUGCAACGCGAAGAACCUUACCAAGGCUUGACAUAUACGGUCUAUCCCUAGAGAUAGGGAGUGCUUCGGCGCCGUAUACAGGUGGUGCAUGGUUGUCGUCAGCUCGUGUCGUGAGAUGUUGGGUUAAGUCCCGCAACGAGCGCAACCCUCGUCCUAUGUUGCCAGCGGAUAAUGCCGGGGACUCAUGGGAGACUGCCGGGGUCAACUCGGAGGAAGUGGGGAUGAGGUCAAAUCAUCAUGCCCCUUAUGUCUUGGGCUUCACGCAUGCUACAAUGGCCGGUACAAAGGGCUGCAAUACCGCGAGGUGGAGCGAAUCCCAAAAAGCCGGUCUCAGUUCGGAUUG
Molecule: ribosomal RNA, 522 nt
Filed under: uncultured bacterium
Lineage: Bacteria
Description: bacterial SSU rRNA
Rfam family: Bacterial small subunit ribosomal RNA
Source: RNAcentral